CUGUGACUAUGUUUUACAUAUUAUAAAUAAUCAUUCCAGUGAAUCCCUCCAGUAGUUCUAAAUAUACAGAAGAAACACGAUAUGCUGAAGGAGGCCUACGACGCAUCUAUUGCGCGUGACCUCGAAACGUAUAUAGAUGACAACGACCAGAUAAGCAAGGGACAUCCGGCGUGUGCAGCGCGUGGCCGCCCACGGUAUGACCUUAUAUGGUCAAGUAGUAGGAUAAUAGGCAGGGAUAUGAUCCAAGUAUAGCCAUCAUAAUACGUAGCACGAAUAGGCUUCGGCAGACGGACUAACGCCACCGAGCUAGACGGACUAACACCACCGAGCUAGACGGACUAACAACACCGAACUAGACGGACCAACGACAUCGAACUAGGCGAACUAACACCAACGAAGAGCUAGGAGCUAAUAUAUGAAAGUCACAUCUCGCUAGUCUUCAUUAUUUAAAAUAGUCAUUUUGGACUUAGUAAAUUUAUCGUGUUUUGUAUUAAUUAAAUAAAAAGUAUUCAAAUUAUAAAGAAAAAUCAAACUCUUGUUCAUUUAUUCUCAUCACCAUCAAACGAGCGUAGUCAGAUUGUUACAAUUGGCGCUGUGGACAGGGUUUGCAAAAAGAAAAAAUUUUUGGAAACGAAUAUUUUUGAAUUAUUUCAAAAUAUUCUAACCAAAUUAAUUCGAGGAGGCAAUUCAAUCAAAUUGGAUCAUCGUUGGAAGUCUGAUCAACUACCAACAACUCCGCAACAGAAUCCUGUCAGCAACAUCGAUUACGUUCCAAGUCAAAUCACAUGGAGGUACCAACUACACAUACCAUGAAUCAAGUAUCAGCUGCAUUGGUGUAAGUAUUAAUUAUAAGUUGGAAUUUAAGAAUAAUUUUGUUGUCCGUCUCCUAUGGUAUAUUU
Long non-coding RNA from Myzus persicae (green peach aphid), 899 nucleotides. RefSeq lists it as uncharacterized. The record is from RefSeq and is a predicted model, not a curated record. Lineage: Eukaryota; Metazoa; Arthropoda; Insecta; Hemiptera; Aphididae. The transcript is spliced from 2 exons.